UGGCUGGAAGGCAACACAAGAAACACCAUCAGCAAAGCUCUCCCUGGUCGUUCUUCAAUGCCGAGUCUCGGACACAGGGGCGGAUGAGAGCCAGCCGCUCACCACCCUGUCAGCUGUGCUUGGGCCCGAGUCGGUCCCGUGACCGGGUAAAAACUGUGCUCUCCUGUCAUGCUCCCGUGCCUCUGCAGCUAUCACGGAAAUUUAACACAGUUUUAUACUCUGUUAUCUUGCGACAAAAACGAUGUGAUUAGAAUGCCACCUAAGGACUCAAGAUACAUAAUAUUCCUAGGUCUUCUUACAGUUUGCUCUACGAAGCUAAACAACUGAGACUUUCCUCAUGCUGACUUCCCCGUAUAUAAAAACAAAUAAUAUCCAUAAAAACAAGAUAAAGUAAAAGUAGUAAUGCAUUGCAUUCCCCUUUUAAGUUAACAUAAAUUAAUGUUUAUGAGAUGGUAUGGGGCGAACACAUAAACAAAGACAGAUGUCCAGUCUUCAGAUUAUGACCUGAUGUAAUCUGGGAUAUCGUAACCAAAGCUUUCAAAAUAUGGAGGAACUGAGUUUAAAAAAGAAAAUAAUUCCAGGUAAAACAGCAGUCUACCACAAACUGUUUGGCAGUAAAUUAAAUAAUUAUUUUUUCUAAUACAUGAUCAAAGUUAAGGAGGCCUGGCAGAAUUAGCAUACUCUUUGAUCAGUCCCCUUCGUUAACUGAUCAAAGAAAUAACACUUUACUAGCUUUUUCUCUGCACAGACUGAAAUCCAAGGGUGCUUUCCGGAGGGCAUUUGGCAGUACGCAUCAAGGGUGAGAAGACUACAGGUAUCACUAUCAAGUACCAGCAGGCACACCUGUGAUGUUCGGCAAUGAUUAUUCAACAUUCAACAAUAUGCUGGAUGAACAGGAAAGUGGACCAAGUGACACUGUGUGUGACCUGAACUACAGCGGUGUCUUCACUCACCCGGAUGUGCUGGAGGUAGAGAGACAGAUCUCGGAUGAAAGAUUUGAUCAGUCUUUCUUGCAUUCGGAAGUUCUUUUCUGUUUCUUCAAAGGCUUCAUCUUUUAUCUGUUCAAAAUGAACAAGCGCUGUUAGCAGAUCGGAACUCUCCCUCGAUCUAUCUGAUUGACACAAGUAUCUUUCUCAAGAACAUCUUUUGUUUAAAUUUUAAUCCUCUGAUAUAUCCCUGAAUCAUACUAAGUUGAAUUUAAACACCUCUACGUGGCUUUGAAAGGUCUCCCAACUAUAUAAGCCACCCCCACCCCACCCCUUCAGACCUCACCUCCUCCGCCCCCAACGGGAACCCUUGCUCUGGUCGGUCAGGCCGCUCCCUCCCCCAGUCUCGCUGGCACCUGCCACAUGUGUUGAUUCUGGGCCUUUGCCCGGUGCUGUUCCCUUGCAUGGUGUGUCCUCUGCUUUCCCUGUGCCCAACCUGCCCCUUCCUUUAAAGGCUCAGAUUAAGUCUCUCGGCAACAUGAAGCUUAUGCUCAUUGAGCUUGUUUUCUUCAGUACUCUACAGCAUGUAGAGGACAAACUGCAAAACUUAGCCACCGACUUUUUUCUAGCUUGCAUUUCCCCUUACUGGUACCGUGUAUAUAUAGUACAGUGCGUGAAGGUCGAAGACCUUGGACCUACCCUCAGGACUGCCCACAAAUUGGUUUUCAAAUCACUCCAUCCCUCAGAUUUUAUAUUUCCUUAUGUGUGACACAUGGUGUUGAACUUGGGUGAACUCUUAAAUCCCUUCUAGGUUAAUAGGUCUGCAAUUUUAAUUUUGUCCCCUAAAUAAAUUGUACGCAUCUCAUGGGUGUCUAAAGCCACAAUUAUUAUAAGGUGAUUGAGUUUGGCCUUCUGAUUUGCCUUUGUGCACACUGGCAGCUCACCAAGGCAACCAGAGAGGGCUGGGUGGGUGGACUGACGUCACCAGUAGCUGCAGGGUCCUGUAUCCACCAGCCAGCAAACACCAGGGGAGGUACUAAGGGGGGAGUCAUCCCAGUUGACGCCAUGCAGGCUGCCCCAUGGAGCCCUGAAAAGCUGCCACAGACAAGCUGAACCUUCAAGCGCAGGACCCUCACCUGUGGGGCAAAGCCAGUGAGGUGCUUCAGGUGGCUGCUCACUCGGUUGGACUUCUUGAUGAUGGAGUGGAUGUUCAGUUUCGAAAUCUUCUCCAUGAGGCUAUCUUCAUCGCCCUUCCGAUACUUGAGGACUAGGGAGUGAGUCACGUUGAGUUAGGGAAGCUCUUUCCUGAGCACAGACUACAAAACCAGCCCAAAGCAAGGCCAACGACCCAAACUAGAGCUACUGCCUGAUUUCAAUGAGCUUAUAAUGAGUAAAGAUAAAUUAUUAAUCCAAAUCACCAUUUAUGGACAGUUAUCCAGUUAUCUCGCACGGUGAAAAUGCCGUACGGGAGUUAUGUGGCUGACCACUGGGUCACACAUUAGGCACAACCUGCAGAAAAGACGGGAGAUCACAGCAGGUGGGCUGCCGGGGGAAGGCUGGAGGGCAGCAAAAAGACAAUUCAUCUUUGAGGAAGACGAGCUUACAUCAGGAGAGAGGAGCCCAGACGGAGGGCUCGAUGGCCAGAAAGCUUCUGCAGCCACGAGCAACAUGACUUAUGGAUGUGGGUGACAUGGUAGGCAGAGAAAAGUUUUAGGGAAAGCGGGGAGAAGAGUGGAGUGACGGGAAAAGAGGUCAUACUACGUCACAGAUUCUCCAAGGAUGCAUCAGUUUAGCAUGUUCACUGUACUACUGCAGUGUUCUAAUUAGAACCUCGACAAAACGCUGAUGAGAAAGAAAAGAAAUGGUUCAGUUCAGUCUCCAUUAUAAAGGAAGAGCGGGUGGGCUGGCAACGGACUGCGCAGCGUUGGGAGGGGACGGAAGGAGCUCAGACAGGAGAGGCAGGUCACUGGGCGGAGGCGGGACUGAUGGGGUCCAGAGAUGUGGUCAUAUCAGACUUUUCUAAAAGAAGAGCAGAAGUCCUAACUGACGUGGAGAUGGUAAAACAGCCAACCAGAUGUGCCAAGCGAACAAAUGUAAGUGCGGAUUGAGAAGGACUGCCUUCCACAGGCUGAGAAGGCAAUCAUCUGUGCCCGAAGGAAUCCCUGAUGAGCCACUUUCCAAUGUCUUCGUUGUGUCCUGGGAAAGACUCUUGCUGCCAUAAGCUUUAGCAGAGACGUCUGUUUCCAAUAUUCCAUGGUUGUACUUUUAUUACUGCUGUCCCUUUUUUCCUAUCACAUUUCCCCCCAAUUCUACUACUGUUUCUUCAUCACAGUCCUAUAAACUAAAAUCUGCCUUGCCCAUCUCCAGUAAAAUAAUUUCUGUUGAGAAGGGGAACAUUCUCAAGGGCAUGCCUCCUUUGAAGCAAAUUUGCUUUUCUUACCCAGAUCCUUCCGACGUUUGUACUCGUUAAUGUUGACGUUGAUCUCCUUGACAGCCAGGACUGCGCUGGUCAAAGGCACUUUAUCUGGGUGGGACUCGGGGGUGGAAUUCAGCAACUCCAUUAGCAGCAGUGGGUAACGCAUUACUCUCUGCACUGGUUUGAUGAGGAAGGAGCCCAGAUUAAUAUAAUUUGUGCACCCCCUAUAAAAGAAGGAAAAAAAGAAACUUUAGUCCACCGUCAAUAAAUAACACAGGGCCUGCAGACAGUAUUUGUUACACCUGGAUAUAGCCCUGUCUUUCACCCUACUUCUGCUUUCAUUCAUUCACAUUUACCGGACACCUGGUAAAUACCAGGGACUGUGCCAGGUCUGGGGAUUUAAUAGACCAUAAAAAAGUCCCCGCCCUGAUGGAAGGAGACUGGCGAUAAACAAACAAAUAGCAUUUAAAUCGUCACUUGGUGUUCAGUGCUAUGGAGAAAAAUAUAGCAAGGUAAAUCCACAAUACUUCUAGGUUUCUGUCUAUAAAGGAAGAAAAUAGAGAAAUGAGUUUGUGCAAGUGGAGAGGAAACUUACCAUUCGUUGUACAGGCUCCUACAGGGCGGCGAGCAUGAAAAGAAAAGAGAGCUGAUUAGAGACAAUGCUGAUUUUCACAGUCUUCUCAGAGCAUGUCAGUUGAACGUUAAUGCCUAGUAGUUGAGUGGACAAAAGAUCACAUGGGAUAAAAAAGAAAUUAUGAAUGUCCAUGGUAGCACACAUAGUCUAUUUUUAAAAAUUAGUAAGUGCCUAACUUCACUUUGAUCUACUUAGAUAUAUACAUUAACCUACCUCCUUAAGACCAGGAGAAUCUCACCUGAUGGUCAAGAAUAAAUGAAUUUGCUCUUCUUACCUAUAUUCUUGUUUAUUUGGACCAAACUACCUUCGUGGUUACUUCUUACCUGAAAAUGCUCACUUAAUACUUUGUAUGCAUAGAUAAUAGUGACUAAAAUGGACAAGACUACGAGCAGGAAGCCACUUAAGGUUUCCAUGAUAUAUGAUGGGAAAAGGCAAGUUACCACAUUUUGCUACAUAUAAUGCACUCCCGUGUAUAAAGCAUACCAAUGUUUCGUGUGCAUUUUACACAGGAUUAUUAUGCCCAUUAUUAUACCAUGGUAUGUAAUCAUUAUACCCAUGUAUAAUGUGCAUCCUUAUUUACCCAUCAAAAAUUUAGGCAAAAAGUGUUCAUUAUACAUGGCAAAGUACAGUACCUAAUAGGACCUAUAAUGACAUAUCAUUUAUGUUUAAAAUAAGAUGGAUGGGCAUCAUAAGAAGUCUAGACCCGCACAUGGGAGUGAUGUUCAGAAGGCAGAACUAGAGAGCUAUGACAGAAACGAAGUGGUGAAACUCCUACUUAAGAUCUGCCAGGGAGUCCUGAAGAUGCCUCUGGAUCCGCUCAUCCUUCUCGUAGAUUUCCAGCAGAGAGAUGGCCUCGUCGUGGUUCUGGCAGUAAACCUUGUACGUCCCCUCGAGCUCAUCCCGGUGGUCAAGAAAUGCAGCACCUUUGAAACACACACAGAUAUACAGUAUUUUCAGACUGUCUUCUCAGCAUCCUAAAUGUAAGGUAUGUAAGCCAACUUGAAGAUCAGCUAAAUCCUAUCACAAGAAAUGAUAGUAAGACUAUACAUCAAAUUAGUAAGAAAUUUCCAUGUAAUGGCUUAAAAUUCUACUUAUUUAAAGCAAAACUGAAGAGAACUAUGUCUUCCAUGUAUUUAUUUUUCAGUGUACAAACGCAGCUGGUCCUGCAACAGUCUCCAGUCCCUUUCCAGCCAGGGACAGUAAGGGGUCUGCAAAUAUUCUCCAUGUUGUAUGUGACCAGGACCCCCCUUUCUGAGCCCCCCCAAGGUCUCCACAUCAAUGAAGAGGUCCUACUAUGGCAGCAGUUUCCAACCUCUUCUUCAUGCAUAAAUUAAAUAUGCAUGACUUUACAUGAAAUUUAUAUUAAAAUAUCUAUCAUAUACGCCCCUAAACAUAACAUGUACUUGUUAUAGAGUAUUAAACAGCAAAAUGUAGCAAUGACUCUAACAAUAGUCACUGUAAUUUCAAAGUAAGAUGAGUGACACACGAAACUGGUCAUCGUGGCUGCUUCUGGUUGACAUUCGCAACAAUCUAAUUGACGUAAGCACGUGACCAGCUGACGGUAAAGUCACAGGUACUGCUAACAGUGUGUGGUUUGUUCCCUAUAUGCAUACCUUACAACAUGCUAAAUUUCACUUAGAAAUUACUGAAAAUGAAGACGUAAUUAUUUUUUUGACCCAAGUUCAUGGGCUCCUUGAGAGACAUCCACAGACCCCCUGGCCCACAGCCUAGUGGGCACAGGUGCAGCUCCCGUUUCAUCUGGAGCUGUGGCCUGACUGUGCCGACUCCCUGACUCGUUUGUUAAACAACUGCUCUUCCUCUCGCCCUUCUUUCCUCCUCACAGCACACUUGGUCCUUCCUCCUUCAGCCUGUACUGCUCUCCCCCAAACAGUGCUCCUCUCUCAAAAUACAAUCCUGCUCAGUGCUCCCCCGUGACUAUUUCUACCAGCUGCUCUGGGCAUAAGCCCCUCCCGCAGGGAACCCCAGCCCUUGCUCUACAAUGUCACCUCUGUUCCUUCUAUGUUGUGUCCCAUGGAAUUCCUUAGUCUUGUGAAGAUCAGUUUCUGUUUAAAUUAAAUGUCUUCCCUUAAUCAUAGCCCCUGCCUAUACAGAAACUUGAUUGUGUUCAUAACCGCAACACCCAUGCUGCCCUGAUUCUGUGGCAGCCUCACGUCUGUCUAACUCUGCAACUCCAAGGGCCCAGCAGCGGGAGUGGGGCUGAUUCCUUCCAACCUUCAGGGCCACCCUGGAAUCCCAGGGCCACAGAUUCGUCAUCUGGUUUCACAUCUGAUCGUUGCCUGCCUCCUCCUCCUCCUCACUACUCCUUUGUAUCCAUUCCCUACCAGCAUCCCUAGAACCUCAGCUCUCACACAGCUGAUUGAUUAUUCACACUCUUCCCCUCCCCUUCGCUGUUCUCCAGCCUUCCCGAUAGUGACUGUUCUAUAGCGACUACAGACUAGCAAAGCUACACCUUCAUUUCCACAGUCUUUCAAACUGUGGGUCACAACCCAUACGUGGGUCAUGAAGUCUACUUCACAGGUUGUGAUCAGCACUCUUUUGGGAAAAUAAAACAGAGUAGUAAAGAACAUAUCAGAAAACGUUGCUCACAGUAAAUGUAAGUACAAACAUAUACAUACAAACAUGUAUCCUUAUGUAAAAUGUAUUUUUCUGUGGGACAUGUUUAAAACAAGUUAAAAGCCAGUCCCGUAAUGUAUUACUCCACACACAGUCUCCCGGUACUUCUUUCCCCCUCCACCUCCUCAUCCGAGCCCUGGACACCUGCCGUCCUUCCUUCCCCGCCGGACCCUGUCCCGGCUGCACUGGGAUCCUUCUCCACUCAGGGUGAGUGAGUUAACUCAGUGCUGCUCUCUCUCUCCAGCACCCUGGGUUCCCUCGACUUUUUGCUGAGUUAUCCCGCUUCCCUGGGUUAUAAAAACUGCUUGGAAGGUACAGUGUUGAGAGGGGAAAAAGGCUUAGUGCAGGACAGUCUGAAGUACGCCGCCACUGGUAUAAUUUUUAAAAAUGGGGUGGUGGACUGAAGUGAAAAAUACAUAUGUAAGCGCUGAUACAUGAUAAACUAUCUCUGGAAGGAGAUACAAGAAAAGUGGUGACACUGGUUG
Molecule: long non-coding RNA, 7095 nt
Organism: Phyllostomus discolor (pale spear-nosed bat)
Lineage: Eukaryota; Metazoa; Chordata; Mammalia; Chiroptera; Phyllostomidae
Exons: 2
Source: RefSeq, a predicted model, not a curated record